RNAcentral lists this transfer RNA (73 nucleotides) under Felis catus (domestic cat). It matches the Rfam family "tRNA". Rfam says of the family: Transfer RNA (tRNA) molecules are approximately 80 nucleotides in length. Their secondary structure includes four short double-helical elements and three loops (D, anti-codon, and T loops). The record is from Rfam by way of RNAcentral. Lineage: Eukaryota; Metazoa; Chordata; Mammalia; Carnivora; Felidae. RNAcentral also lists the same sequence under 2 other names.
GCCUGGCUGGCUCAGUUGGUAGAGCAUGUGAUUCUUGACCUCGGGAUCGUGAGAUUGAGCCCCACGUUGGGUG